AUGGGUGCUGGCCAGAAGCUCCUGCUUUGCCACCCCAAGCCGCUCUUCUACCUGGAGAUAUACGGACCGUCAAGUACACCCUCCGUCACAGAAUAAUCGUCCAGGAAAAAUACAGUUCAAAAGUGUACAAUUAAUGUCGUUUUUAGUUAGCUAAAUGACGAUUUUACCUUUUUGAAGUACACAAGUAAAAGAAUAUGCAAUUAAUGACGUUUUUUUGGUAACCUUGUACCGGGAACUCACAGAACCCCACCAAUACCCUGCUAAUCAAUGAGAUCAUGUAAAACUCAACUUGCGUUGCGCAGGUGACCUUCAAAGGGGUUAAAGGCACAUAACCAGCGAAAGCUGGAUUUGAACCUCAUAC
Molecule: long non-coding RNA, 361 nt
Filed under: Helianthus annuus (common sunflower)
Lineage: Eukaryota; Viridiplantae; Streptophyta; Magnoliopsida; Asterales; Asteraceae
Description: sRNA HanXRQr2_Chr09g0410251
Source: RNAcentral